Oryzias melastigma (Indian medaka) is the source of this 701-nucleotide long non-coding RNA. RefSeq lists it as uncharacterized. The record is from RefSeq and is a predicted model, not a curated record. Lineage: Eukaryota; Metazoa; Chordata; Actinopteri; Beloniformes; Adrianichthyidae. The transcript is spliced from 2 exons.
CUCCACCCUGUCAACUCCUCUCAGCAGAGCUAAUCAGUCAAUUGACUCCACCUGAGCACCUCCCUUCUUAAGGAGCUGCAGACCUUCAGCUGGCGUUGGAUCAUCUUUCACCUCUGCCUUGUUGUUGAGUCAGUGAGUUCCAACUGGAUCCUCUGCAGUUUACCCAUGAUUUCCAAGGGGAAAGGAGAGACUGAGACAGAUCCAAUCAAGUUCUGCUCUACAGUCAGUCCUCCAGUGUCCUCCUCCACAAUCAACACCCACCCUGAGAAAAGACUGCUACUCCACCUGUGGGCCCAAGACUCCACCUGUGGGCCCAAGACUAUUCCCUGAUGCUUCUAUCCUUCCUGAGCUAAACAUUUUUUUUCUGAAGCUUGUUGUUACAGGGGUUUCCAUAUCAAUAUUUGACAGUAUUUCCAUAAAUGUGUUGAUGAAAUGACAAAAGAACAGCCAAGUCUGGGAAGUUCUUUGGUCAACACCCAUUGCUCAGCCAUGCCAGCAGUUAACAAAGUGCUGCGGGUGAAUGUCAGGGACCAUGUAAAUGCUACAGCAACACCUGGAGAUGCACACCACUCUGCAGCUGCAAUUACAUGGAGUAAAAGAAGCACUUAGCAUGCACAAGAAAGCUAGAUUCUAUACUGGAUCACAUGUGGUGUGACCUUGUACAUAUGACAUGUCAACUGGCAACUUUGCCAAGACGUUGU